RNAcentral lists this ribosomal RNA (253 nucleotides) under uncultured bacterium. RNAcentral describes it as "partial 16S ribosomal RNA". It matches the Rfam family "Bacterial small subunit ribosomal RNA", at positions 524 to 776 of the family's 1533-position model. The record is from RNAcentral.
UACAGAGGGGGCGAGCGUUGUUCGGAAUUACUGGGCGUAAAGGGCGCGUAGGUGGCCAACUAAGUCAGACGUGAAAUCCCUCGGCUUAACCGGGGAACUGCGUCUGAUACUGGAUGGCUUGAGUUUGGGAGAGGGACGCGGAAUUCCAGGUGUAGCGGUGAAAUGCGUAGAUAUCUGGAGGAACACCGGUGGCGAAGGCGGCGUCCUGGACCAAUACUGACACUGAAACGCGAAAGCCAGGGGAGCAAACGGG